UGUAAGCGUAUACCAAAGUUGUUGCAGUUAAAACGCUCGUAGUCGGAACUUGGCAGUUCCGGAAGUGUGCACGUCGUGUGCGCACUUUGCAGGGACUGCUUUUGUGGUCUUGCGUAGGAUGAGGCACUUUUAUUAGUGAACGUCCUCACGCAACCACUCUUUACUGUGAGAAAAUCAGAGUGCUCAAAGCAGGCAUUUGCCGUGAAUGUAUUAGCAUGGAAUAAUAGAAUAGGACUCGGUUCUAUUUUGUUGGUUUGUUGGGACUGAGUAAUGAUUAAGAGGGACAGUUGGGGGCAUUUGUAUUUCGGCGCUAGAGGUGAAAUUCUUAGAUUGCCGAAAGACAAGCUGCUGCGAAAGCGUCUGCCAAGGAUGUUUUCAUUGA
RNAcentral lists this ribosomal RNA (382 nucleotides) under uncultured eukaryote. RNAcentral describes it as "partial 18S ribosomal RNA". It matches the Rfam family "Eukaryotic small subunit ribosomal RNA", at positions 592 to 976 of the family's 1831-position model. The record is from RNAcentral.